AACGCACCUUGCGCUCCCGGGCUAUUCCUGGGAGCAUGUUCGUUGGAGUGUCGCGUACCUCUCAACCCCGUCCUUUUAUCAGGAUCGAACAGGGUUGGAUCGUGGCCCGUCUGUGACCUUUGUGAGGCCACUGGGCUGAAAUGCAAAAAGCUGUACCCUUGUUACAGGCGGCUUGACCUGUUGUCGUAAAUCUAAAACUCAACGGGGAUCGCCAGUCGGGAUGGGCUUACCAUAAAGUAACACCUUUGAUACUUUGACCUCCAAUCGAGCAGGACUACCCCCUGAACUUAA
RNAcentral lists this unclassified non-coding RNA (291 nucleotides) under uncultured fungus. Its description in RNAcentral is "partial internal transcribed spacer 2". The record is from RNAcentral. Lineage: Eukaryota; Fungi.